CGGGAAAAGCUCAAAUUUAAAAUCUGGCAGCUUCGCUGUCCGAGUUGUAAUUUAGAGAAGUGUUACCCGUGCUGGACCGUGUACAAGUUCCCUGGAAUGGGACGUCAUAGAGGGUGAGAAUCCCGUCUCUGACACGGACUACCAGUGCUUUGUGGUGCGCUCUCAAA
Molecule: ribosomal RNA, 167 nt
Filed under: Mycena adscendens
Lineage: Eukaryota; Fungi; Basidiomycota; Agaricomycetes; Agaricales; Mycenaceae
Description: partial large subunit ribosomal RNA
Rfam family: Eukaryotic large subunit ribosomal RNA
Source: RNAcentral